This is a long non-coding RNA of Eriocheir sinensis (Chinese mitten crab), 692 nucleotides long. RefSeq lists it as uncharacterized. The transcript is spliced from 4 exons. The record is from RefSeq and is a predicted model, not a curated record. NCBI's taxonomy places the organism in Eukaryota, Metazoa, Arthropoda, Malacostraca, Decapoda, Varunidae.
CUGUGUGCUGGGCCAGCUGGAGCUCUUCCCCUUGGAGUCAUCUUCACAUCUUCUCAGGAUGAAGAAAGCUAUACUGCAGGUUUUCAGUUACUGAGGAAGGUGCUCGGUGAGACUGCCUUUUUCCAACAAGGGCAUCCAGCUUGUUUCAUAACAGACAACAGUGACGCUGAGCGUAAUGCCUUGAAGACUGUAUGGCCAGAAUCUCAGCGCUUUCUGUGCAUAUUCCACAUCCUGCAGCAGGUCUGGAGGUGGCUGUGUGAUGGUUCACAUGGCAUCAAGAAGGAAGAUCGCCGAGUACUAAUGACAGUGGCAAAGAAUCUGGUAUAUGCUGAUUCAGAUGAAACAUUUCAAGAUGAAUGGAAUUGCUUUUGUCAGACCCCAGAAGCCCAAAAGUAUAACCAGUACAUGAGAUAUAGGCUACCGUACAAGAGGGAAAAAAUACAUACGUUGGUAUCUGGCAAAGCUGAUAGAAAGGAAGGAAGAAUGGAGUACUGUGUACAGGGCUGGAUUUUUGCUACGUGGACACCACACAAAUAAUUUUGCAGAAUCUACCAUGUGCAUCAUUAAAGAUAUCAUUCUCAACAGGUUAGUGUGCCAUUUGUCAUUAUAUAUACCUCAGUCAAGCUAUAAACGUCUAAUAGGUCGAUGAACGGGGUCGUUCAUAGCGAAUUCGUUCAUAGUUAAUACUGUAU